This 530-nucleotide ribosomal RNA is filed under the name Clostridioides difficile. RNAcentral's name for it is "partial 23S ribosomal RNA". It matches the Rfam family "Bacterial large subunit ribosomal RNA", at positions 1417 to 1956 of the family's 2925-position model. The record is from RNAcentral. Lineage: Bacteria; Bacillati; Bacillota; Clostridia; Peptostreptococcales; Peptostreptococcaceae.
GAUGGACAACAGGUUGAUAUUCCUGUACUACCGAUAACCGUUUGAGAGAAGGGAUGACACAGUAGGAUAAGCUAAGCACACUGUUGGUUAUGUGUGCCCAAGCAUUGAGGCAGUCAAAGUAGGCAAAUCCGCUUUGAUAAUGCUGGGAUGUGAUGGGGAGCGAAAUUUAGUAGCGAAGUAGCUGAUUUCACACUGUCAAGAAAAGUCUCUAUCGAGGUUAAAGGUACCCGUACCGCAAACCGACACAGGUGGGUGAGGAGAGUAUCCUAAGGCCAGCGAGAGAACUGUUGUUAAGGAACUCGGCAAAAUGACCCCGUAACUUAGGGAUAAGGGGUGCCACCAUCAGGUGGCCGCAGAGAAUAGGCCCAAGCGACUGUUUACCAAAAACAUAGGUUUCUGCUAAGUCGCAAGACGAUGUAUAGGAGCUGACGCCUGCCCGGUGCUGGAAGGUUAAGGGGAUCUGUUAGAGCAAUCGAAGCAGUGAACUUAAGCCCCAGUAAACGGCGGCCGUAACUAUAACGGUCCUAAGG